This 2055-nucleotide long non-coding RNA is filed under the name Gossypium raimondii (Peruvian cotton). RNAcentral describes it as "long non-coding RNA (GRAI_LNC004507)". Lineage: Eukaryota; Viridiplantae; Streptophyta; Magnoliopsida; Malvales; Malvaceae. The record is from RNAcentral.
UUUUAUUUUUUCCCUAAACUUUUACUUCUCAUCCUUUACCCCCAAAUAAAAAAUUAAAAUCAUCUAAAAAAAAUCCUAAACCCAAAUAAUAAUAAAUUUAUUUAUAUCUACUAUUUAUAUUAUUAAAUUAAAUUUCACAUUUUGUACUAUUUAUAUUAUUGAAUUGUUUUAUCAUAUUGAAUAUUUAUAAUUUUUUGCUAAAAUUGAAUUAUUGAUGAUGCCAUAAAAUAUUCGUGUUAAAAUUUUAUGUUGGUAUCAAUUUCACAUUUUAUUAAAAAAACACAUUUUUUGCAUUUAAUAUAUUUUUUAAUUUCAAAAUACAUAGUGACAUGAAUCAGAAGAUAAUUGAAGCAACUAAGCAAGCAAAGAAGUUAACCCGUAUAUAAAAGAUUAAUAAAUAAAUUAUAAGGGGAUGAAAGUUAAUAAAAAAUUUGAUUACGAUGGAAAAUUUUGAUUACGGUGGGUGACAGUGAUUACAAGGACCUAAAAUAUUUUUUUAAUUUAACUCGAACAAAUAUAUUCGAUUCGAUUCGAAUUCCAUCUCACUCGACUCGAUUUGAGAAAAUUUUAAAUCGAGUUAGGAUGACAAAAUAUGAUUCGUCAACUCGAUUAACUCGAAAUUUUUUCAUUCGAUUUAAUCGAACGCUCACCCCUAGUUGAGAGAUAAGUAGUUCUUGUCGACUCGUUAGUUUAGUGGAAGAUCGAGAGAUCCUGCUAGGGUGACAACUAGUUGAUUGAGUAGAAACCAAAAAUAGGAAUUAGUUAUGAUUAUUGAAGCAAGCUAAUCACCCAUACCUAGAUUUGAUUAAGUUAGAAUUCAUUCAAUCGAAGUUCACUUUAUUUAUGUUGUUUUUAUUUUGUUAUUAUAAAAAUCCAAAAAUCUUUCCUUUAUGUUUCGUCGUAAUAUAAUUUAUUUAAACUACUAAUUAAUUCCAUUUGCGUUUAGGUUAAUUUUAAUUUAAUACUUGACUCCCUUGGGUACGAUUGUUAGAAUACUCACCUAUUCUGUUGUAAAAAUUAUAUUACAACUUGACCCGUAUACUUGCGAACACUACUAAUUGAAUACUCGUCCUUGUGGGUUUUGGUUCCACGAGACCAAGUUGUUUGAACAUUUUAUAAGUCAUUAAAUUUAUACUAGUACCAAAAUUAGCCAAUGCUUUUUCAAUGUUUAAAUUACCAAUAAAACAAGUGAUAGUAAAACUUCAUAGAUCUUUCAACUUAGUGGGCAGCUUGUUUUGAAAAAUGGCCAAACACUCCUCUUUUAGUUCCAAGUGGAUAACUAUUCUAACUUCCUUUUAUUUGUUAACAACUCCUUUAAAAAUAUUGUAUAUUUGGGCAUCUAUGAAAGAGCUUUAACAAAAUGUACGUUAAUAUGUCAUUGUUAUAUAGAGUAUUAUUAAUCCAUGGAUAUAUAGAUUCUAAAUUUUAUUAUUAUUAUAUAGAUAUAGAUUGAUUAUAUAGAUAUAUCCAACUUUUCUAUAGAGAUAUAGAACUUUUAUCAGUAAUUCCAUUUCAUUUAUAUUAUAUUUUACAUCAUUUAUAUUUUUAAAUAAAACAAGGGCUCUAAAGAAAUAUCUCAAAUAACAAAAAAAGAAAAAGAAAAAGAAAGAAAGAAUAUCGCUUUGAUUUCCAAAUUCCACGGACCGGCCUAGUCAGUACUCGGCCGGGCUCAUUUUUUUAUUUUCAACUCAAAUAACUCAUUUUUUCUAUGAUUCUGCGAUCUGGCUUGUUGUAACAAAAAAAAUCUUGUUAUUGCAUUGAAUCAACAAUCAAAAGUAGAAGAAGUCCUAUUUCUGUUCCUAUGAUAUAGAAUCAAAAUAUUAUUUCUAUUCUUUUUCUUUCUUCCUAUUUCUUUUUAUUUCCAUUUAUUUUAUAUUUUACUAUAAUAAUUAGAAUAAAUAAUUAAAAAAACUAUGGAUUUUUGCACAAUCCAUUUUUAUGUUAUUUAUGUUAUGACUAAGUCCUUUUGUCGAAUCCUAUCUAUCAAAACUCCUAUAACACAAGUCUUCUGACAAAAGGUGGCAAGGCCCUAAUUUUCAGGAUUUUUUAGCCUCU